This 694-nucleotide ribosomal RNA is filed under the name uncultured bacterium. Its description in RNAcentral is "bacterial SSU rRNA". It matches the Rfam family "Bacterial small subunit ribosomal RNA", at positions 32 to 715 of the family's 1533-position model. The record is from RNAcentral.
AACGCUAGCUACAGGCUUAACACAUGCAAGUCGAGGGGCAGCAUGAACUUAGCUUGCUAAGUUUGAUGGCGACCGGCGCACGGGUGAGUAACGCGUAUGCAACUUGCCUAUCAGAGGAGAAUAGCUCAUCGAAAGAUGAAUUAAUGCUCCAUAAAACAGGGGCACCGCAUGGUGAUAUUUGUUAAAGAAAUUCGCUGAUAGAUGGGCAUGCGUUCCAUUAGGUAGUUGGUGAGGUAACGGCUCACCAAGCCGACGAUGGAUAGGGGAACUGAGAGGUUGGUCCCCCACACUGGUACUGAGACACGGACCAGACUCCUACGGGAGGCAGCAGUGAGGAAUAUUGGUCAAUGGGCGAGAGCCUGAACCAGUCAAGUCGCGUGAAGGAAGAAGGAUCUAUGGUUCGUAAACUUCUUUUGCAGGGGAAUAAAGUGCAGGACGUGUCCUGUUUUGUAUGUACCCUGAGAAUAAGGAUCGGCUAACUCCGUGCCAGCAGCCGCGGUAAUACGGAGGAUCCGAGCGUUAUCCGGAUUUAUUGGGUUUAAAGGGUGCGUAGGUGGUUUGAUAAGUCAGCGGUGAAAGUUUGCAGCUUAACUGUAAAAAUGCCGUUGAAACUGUCGGACUUGAGUGUAAAUGAGGUAGGCGGAAUUCGUGGUGUAGCGGUGAAAUGCUUAGAUAUCACGAAGAACUCCGAUUG